This 256-nucleotide ribosomal RNA is filed under the name uncultured bacterium. Its description in RNAcentral is "partial 16S ribosomal RNA". It matches the Rfam family "Bacterial small subunit ribosomal RNA", at positions 524 to 776 of the family's 1533-position model. The record is from RNAcentral.
UACAGAGGUCCCGAGCGUUGUUCGGAUUCACUGGGCGUAAAGGGUGCGUAGGUGGUGAGGUAAGUCGGAUGUGAAAGCGUCGGAGCUCAACUCCGAAAUGGCAUUGGAAACUGCCUUGCUUGAGGGUUGGGAGGGGGGACUGGAAUACUUGGUGGUAGCAGUGAAAUGCGUAGAUAUCAAGUGGAACACCAGUGGCGAAGGCGAGUCCCUGGACAACUCCUGACACUGAGGCACGAAAGCUGGGGGAGCAAACCGG